RNAcentral lists this ribosomal RNA (253 nucleotides) under uncultured bacterium. RNAcentral describes it as "partial 16S ribosomal RNA". It matches the Rfam family "Bacterial small subunit ribosomal RNA", at positions 524 to 776 of the family's 1533-position model. The record is from RNAcentral.
UACGGAGGAUGCAAGCGUUAUCCGGAAUCACUGGGCGUAAAGGGUGCGUAGGCGGGUCUUUAAGUCAGGGGGGAAAUCCUGGAGCUCAACUCCAGAACUGCCUUUGAUACUGAAGAUCUUGAGUUCGGGAGAGGUGAGUGGAACUGCGAGUGUAGAGGUGAAAUUCGUAGAUAUUCGCAAGAACACCAGUGGCGAAGGCGGCUCACUGGCCCGAUACUGACGCUGAGGCACGAAAGCGUGGGGAGCAAACAGG